AACGCAUAUUGCGCUCCUCGGCAUUCCGUGGAGCAUGCCUGUUUGAUGCGCCCGAGAAAAAUGGGCCGGGGGACUUGUUCCCCGGACCGCUUUUGAGCUUUCUCACCUUGUGAGUAGUUCAAAGUCACAGAAUUUUGAGAGGUCGCUUGCGCAGUUUACGGUCCAAAGACACUGUCAGCCGACGUCGAAGGAUACACUCCACAUGCGAAACGAUAAUAAUUUCUUUGUCGGAUUAACAUGUGGGCUUUCGGCGAACCGCAGGACGGAGUCGGCGAGCACGAUUCAUCGCGGGGCGCAUCUUUAUUGAGCGGAUCACUCCCCUCAGAAAUUUUGCAUCAAAUCAGGUAGGGUUACCCGCUGAACUUAA
Molecule: unclassified non-coding RNA, 367 nt
Filed under: uncultured Basidiomycota
Lineage: Eukaryota; Fungi; Basidiomycota
Description: sequence contains ITS2
Source: RNAcentral